UUCCUCGAUAGCUCAGUUGGUAGAGCACGCGGCUGUUAACCGCGCUGUCGUAGGUUCGAGUCCUACUCGGGGAGU
RNAcentral lists this transfer RNA (75 nucleotides) under Roseburia intestinalis. RNAcentral's name for it is "tRNA-Asn(gtt)". It matches the Rfam family "tRNA". Rfam says of the family: Transfer RNA (tRNA) molecules are approximately 80 nucleotides in length. Their secondary structure includes four short double-helical elements and three loops (D, anti-codon, and T loops). Lineage: Bacteria; Bacillati; Bacillota; Clostridia; Lachnospirales; Lachnospiraceae. RNAcentral also lists the same sequence under 1 other name. The record is from RNAcentral.